RNAcentral lists this ribosomal RNA (404 nucleotides) under Fusobacteriota bacterium. Its description in RNAcentral is "Fusobacteria bacterium partial 16S ribosomal RNA". It matches the Rfam family "Bacterial small subunit ribosomal RNA", at positions 355 to 776 of the family's 1533-position model. Lineage: Bacteria; Fusobacteriati; Fusobacteriota. The record is from RNAcentral.
UGGGGAAUAUUGCACAAUGGAGGGAACUCUGAUGCAGCGACGCCGCGUGAGUGAUGAAGGAAUUCGUUUCGUAAAACUCUGUUCUAUGGGAAGAAAAGGACUGUACCAUAGGAGAAAGCUCCGGCUAAAUACGUGCCAGCAGCCGCGGUAAUACGUAUGGAGCGAGCGUUGUCCGGAAUUAUUGGGCGUAAAGGGUGCGCAGGCGGCUUUACAAGUUGGAUGUGAAAUAUUGUGGCUCAACCACAAACGUGCAUCCAAAACUGCAAAGCUUGAGUUAAGGAGAGGUAAGGGGAAUUCCUGGUGUAGCGGUGGAAUGCGUAGAUAUCAGGGGGAAUACCGGUGGCGAAGGCGACUUACGGGACUUAAACUGACGCUCAGGCACGAAAGCGUGGGGAGCAAACAGG